CAGAAACUAGGAGUCCUAAGGCUUGGAGGAACUCGAGGGUUGAGUUUGGAGAAGAUUCAGCAUGUUCUGAAGAAUUCCAUCAUUCUUCUCCUUUUCUUUUUCAAGUUCAAUUCUGAGACCAUCCCUCUUAGCUUCCACUUCAACCACACGAGUCUUAAGCCUGGUAGAAAAUAAACAAAAAAAAUCCUAAUCUGGAUCACUGGGGGUACUGGUACUAGUUCAGGGGACAGAAACUAGGAGUCCUAAGGCUUGGAGGAACUCGAGGGUUGAGUUUGGAGAAGAUUCAGCAUGUUCUGAAGAAUUCCAUCAUUCUUCUCCUUUUCUUUUUCAAGUUCAAUUCUGAGACCAUCCCUCUUAGCUUCCACUUCAACCACACGAGCCUUAAGCCUAGUAAUUUUAGCAUUCUUAGUUGCGCAUUCCUGAACCAAAAUCCUAAAUUUUCUGUUGAUGGGUGUUC
Molecule: long non-coding RNA, 457 nt
Filed under: Nicotiana benthamiana
Lineage: Eukaryota; Viridiplantae; Streptophyta; Magnoliopsida; Solanales; Solanaceae
Description: long non-coding RNA (NBEN_LNC018450)
Source: RNAcentral